Molecule: long non-coding RNA, 651 nt
Filed under: Solanum lycopersicum (tomato)
Lineage: Eukaryota; Viridiplantae; Streptophyta; Magnoliopsida; Solanales; Solanaceae
Description: long non-coding RNA (SLYC_LNC000994)
Source: RNAcentral
GCUUCCGAAACAGCAGAGAUUCGUCAUUUCAAUAGGACGGUGUUUGAGAUAGAUGAAGUCGAGAGACAAGGUACGAGGCAAGAACCCGAUAAACACGAAGAGCUAAUGAUGUUACAUGACAUUAAGGAGAAACUAAAUUUAGAACCUUUAAAGCAUUUGAAAGUUUGUCCAAUGACUAGUGAUUCAGAAACAGAAGAGAUUCGUCGUGUCAAUAGGAGCACGUUUAAGAAAACUGAAGUUGAGAGACAAGGUACGAGGCAAGAACCCAACAGACACAAAGAGCUAAUGUUGUUACAUGACAGGAAGGAGCAACUAAAUUUAGUACCUAUAAAGCAUUUGAAAAAUUGUCCAAUGACUCAUGCUUCGGAAACAGCAGAGAUUCGUCAUGUCAAUAAGAAGUUUGAGAUAGCUGAAGUCGAGAGACAUGAUACGAGGCAAGAACCCGAGAGAAACAAAGAGUUAAUGUUGCUACAUGACAGGAAGGAGCAACUAAAUAUAGUACCUAUAAGGCAUUUGAAUAAUUGUCCAAUGACUAAUGCUUCAGAAACAGCAGAGAUUCAUCGUGUCAAUAAGAAGUUUGAGAUAGCUGAAGUCGAGAGAGAUGGUACGAGGAAAGUCGAGAGACAUGGUACGAGGCAAGAGACAGAGAGA